This 224-nucleotide ribosomal RNA is filed under the name uncultured bacterium. Its description in RNAcentral is "partial 16S ribosomal RNA". It matches the Rfam family "Bacterial small subunit ribosomal RNA", at positions 15 to 236 of the family's 1533-position model. The record is from RNAcentral.
GAUCAUGGCUCAGGACGAACGCUGACGGCACGCUUAACACAUGCAAGUCGAACGAGAGAAGAGAAGCUUGCUUUUCUGAUCUAGUGGCGGACGGGUGAGUAACACGUGAGCAACCUGCCUUUCAGAGGGGGAUACCGAUUGGAAACGAUCGUUAAUACCGCAUAACAUAAUUGAACCGCAUGAUUUGAUUAUCAAAGAUUUAUCGCUGAAAGAUGAGCUCGCGU